CGUGAGUGAAGAAGGCUUUCGGGUCGUAAAGCUCUGUCGAGUGGGAAGAACUUUUGUAUGGUGAAUAUCCAUAUGGAUUGACGGUACCACAGAAGGAAGCACCGGCUAACUCCGUGCCAGCAGCCGCGGUAAUACGGAGGGUGCAAGCGUUAUUCGGAAUUAUUGGGCGUAAAGAGCGCGUAGGCGGCUUUACAAGUCAGGUGUGAAAUCCCGGGGCUCAACCCCGGAAGUGCAUUUGAUACUGUAUAGCUUGAGUAUGGGAGAGGGAAGUGGAAUUCCUGGUGUAGCGGUGAAAUGCGUAGAUAUCAGGAGGAACACCGGUGGCGAAGGCGGCUUCCUGGACCAAUACUGACGCUGAGGCGCGAAGGCGUGGGGAGCAAACAGGAUUAGAUACCCAGGUAGUCCACGCAGUAAACGGUGGUCACUAGGUGUAGCGGGUAUUGACCCCUGCUGUGCCGGAGUUAA
RNAcentral lists this ribosomal RNA (465 nucleotides) under uncultured delta proteobacterium. RNAcentral describes it as "bacterial SSU rRNA". It matches the Rfam family "Bacterial small subunit ribosomal RNA", at positions 400 to 855 of the family's 1533-position model. The record is from RNAcentral. Lineage: Bacteria; Deltaproteobacteria.